Molecule: non-coding RNA, 125 nt
Organism: Fusarium venenatum
Lineage: Eukaryota; Fungi; Ascomycota; Sordariomycetes; Hypocreales; Nectriaceae
Source: RefSeq, a predicted model, not a curated record
AGCUUUGGAGUUUAUAAUGAGGCUCGGUGCAAUCAUAUCAUUAAUCAAUGGAGCAACUCUUCGCUUCAGUCAGUAAGCUGGUAUCCAUCUGAAGUUCACCAUUAACUAAAACCAGUAUCGCUGAU